UUUCCGUAGGUGAACCUGCGGAAGGAUCAUUAUAGUAUAUGGAAUCUCCAUUCUAUAAACCCACUCUGCGUAUCUUGUAACUGUUGCUUCCAUGGGACUUGGUUCCGCCACACCGGCUUCACGGCUGGUGAGCGCCCAUGGAAGGAGAAACAAAACUCUUCUUUGAAAUGUAGUCAGUCUGAACAAGUUUUUAUAAACGUUAAAACUUUCAACAACGGAUCUCUUGGUUCUCGCAUCGAUGAAGAACGCAGCGAAAUGCGAUAAGUAGUGUGAAUUGCAGAAUUCAGUGAAUCAUCGAAUCUUUGAACGCACAUUGCGCCUUCUGGUAUUCCGGGAGGCAUGCCUGUUCGAGCGUCAUCAAAAACCUCAAUCUCUGAUUUAUCAUUGGUUGGUCUUGCGUUGGAGGUGUCAGCUUCCUCUGCGAAAUACAAUGGCGAUGAGCCACGCUACCAAAGCGUAGUAAUUUAUUCUCGUGAUGGAAACGUGAGCGCAUCCGCCGCAACCCCCCAUUCUAAGUUUUUGACCUCGGAUCAGGUAGGGAUACCCGCUGAACUUAAGCAUAUCAAUAAGCGGAGG
RNAcentral lists this ribosomal RNA (576 nucleotides) under uncultured fungus. RNAcentral's name for it is "eukaryotic LSU rRNA". The stretch from base 204 to 357 matches the Rfam family "5.8S ribosomal RNA". Lineage: Eukaryota; Fungi. The record is from RNAcentral.